AUCAGUUACAAUCUAGCCAAUAGGAGGCGGCCACUUGUUGCUUAUCUGAAAUGAUCAAAUUACUCUCGAAACCUCGAGGGAAAUCUAUAAAUACUCACAUCUGAUAGAAGAAAAUCAUGCAAAUUCAAAUAUCUCAUUUUCAAAUGGUUAUUUCUCAUAUUGCUUCGAUUUGAGCAUCAAAAUCAGUGAAUUUAGGAGGUGAAAACACUGACCAGCUUGGUGAGAGAAAUUUGUUGAUCGGAUUUUUAUUGUCAACAUACCCUUUCACAAACUUGCCACUCGCGAAAUGUUGAACAUAAAAUCUCAAAUAAGAAGUUUGGGUUGUGUCACUUGUGAUUGACUAUUGUAAGUACUUAGGCGACUUCUGUUCUUAAGGAACGUUGUUUAGUACACUUACCAUUGCAGCCAAUGGGGACAUAAUUGAGAAGCUAAUUAAGUUCUCCAUGUCGAUUGGAAGAGCUAAAUCCUUGACAGAUGGUACCUAGUAAUAUGCAGCUUUCGUAAGCUAGGCGUGUUUUUCACCAUGCAUGCUGGAAGAGAAGGUCUAGCAUGAAAGUUAAGAGCCAAUUAGGAUAGCCCAAGGAUGACGCCUAAAAACCACACAAUUUACUAUGAGUCAAACCCAUAAUUAAGAGUGAAUUUAGGCAAGUCAUCCUUGGCUACCAAAUCAGGCUCAUCAAUUUCAUACUAGGCCUCUCUUCCUUUCGCU
RNAcentral lists this long non-coding RNA (709 nucleotides) under Olea europaea subsp. europaea. Lineage: Eukaryota; Viridiplantae; Streptophyta; Magnoliopsida; Lamiales; Oleaceae. The record is from RNAcentral.